Long non-coding RNA from Notothenia coriiceps (black rockcod), 240 nucleotides. RefSeq lists it as uncharacterized. NCBI's taxonomy places the organism in Eukaryota, Metazoa, Chordata, Actinopteri, Perciformes, Nototheniidae. The record is from RefSeq and is a predicted model, not a curated record. The transcript is spliced from 3 exons.
CGAGGGUAUAUUAACAACAUUACAUAUUUUCCAAAACUAACGUGAUGGAGUCAACAAAGUAUCGACGAUGCAAAGCAGUCAGUCUUGUGCCAUACACACCGAAGAUCAGAAAAAUGAAGAUCAGAAAAAUGCCAUGUGAAGAGGCAUCUGGGACUCGUCAGUUGUUGUCAAAGGCUCAGUUGCUGAUGUCGGAUAUAGAGAAACUGCUGGACAUGUGUAAGCCAACUGUGCAGAGAGAGG